AGAUGGCGACCGGCGCACGGGUGAGUAACACGUAUCCAACCUGCCGAUAACUCGGGGAUAGCCUUUCGAAAGAAAGAUUAAUAUCCGAUAGCAUAUAUUUCCCGCAUGGGUUUUAUAUUAAAGAAAUUCGGUAUGAGAUGGGGAUGCGUUCCAUUAGCUUGUUGGGGGGGUAACGGCCCACCAAGACUACGAUGGAUAGGGGUUCUGAGAGGAAGGUCCCCCACAUUGGAACUGAGACACGGUCCAA
This 247-nucleotide ribosomal RNA is filed under the name uncultured bacterium. Its description in RNAcentral is "partial 16S ribosomal RNA". It matches the Rfam family "Bacterial small subunit ribosomal RNA", at positions 86 to 334 of the family's 1533-position model. The record is from RNAcentral.